Molecule: small nucleolar RNA, 73 nt
Organism: Alexandromys fortis (reed vole)
Lineage: Eukaryota; Metazoa; Chordata; Mammalia; Rodentia; Cricetidae
Product: small nucleolar RNA ZL2
Exons: 1
Source: RefSeq, a predicted model, not a curated record
GUCCUCCAGUGAUGGAGGUAUGCCCUGGGAGGCCAAUGACUGAACUGGGAUGUAUUCAUACUGUCUGAUGGGC